UAGGGAAUCUUGCGCAAUGGGGGAAACCCUGACGCAGCGAUGCCGCGUGAGUGAGGAAGGCCUUCGGGUUGUAAAGCUCUGUUCUGCGGGAAAAACGGUGGGCGGAUGAAUAAUCCGGCCAAGUGAUGGUACUGCAGGAGAAAGCACCGGCUAACUUCGUGCCAGCAGCCGCGGUAAUACGAAGGGUGCAAGCGUUGUUCGGAAUUAUUGGGCGUAAAGGGCGAGUAGGCGGACGAAGAAGUCAGAUGUGAAAUCUCGGGGCUCAACCCCGAAACUGCGUCUGAAACUUUUUGUCUAGAAUUUCGAAGAGGGAAGGGGAAUUUCGCAUGUAGGAGUAAAAUCCGUAGAGAUGCGAAGGAACACCAGAGGCGAAGGCGCCUUCCUGGGAGAACAUUGACGCUGAGGCGCGAAAGCGUGGGGAGCAAACAGG
RNAcentral lists this ribosomal RNA (430 nucleotides) under uncultured bacterium. RNAcentral describes it as "bacterial SSU rRNA". It matches the Rfam family "Bacterial small subunit ribosomal RNA", at positions 355 to 776 of the family's 1533-position model. The record is from RNAcentral.